AUUGAACGCUGGCGGCAUGCUUUACACAUGCAAGUCGAACGGCAGCGCGGGGGCAACCCUGGCGGCGAGUGGCGAACGGGUGAGUAAUGUAUCGGAACGUAUCCUGUAAUGGGGGAUAACCAGUCGAAAGAUUGGGUAAUACCGCAUACGCACGAGAGUGGAAAGUAGGGGAUCGCAAGACCUUACGUUAUAGGAGCGGCCGAUAUCUGAUUAGCUAGUUGGUGGGGUAAAGGCCUACCAAGGCGACGAUCAGUAGCUGGUCUGAGAGGACGACCAGCCACACUGGGACUGAGACACGGCCCAGACUCCUACGGGAGGCAGCAGUGGGGAAUUUUGGACAAUGGGCGCAAGCCUGAUCCAGCCAUGCCGCGUGCGGGAAGAAGGCCUUCGGGUUGUAAACCGCUUUUGUCAGGGAAGAAAUCCUUUGAGUUAAUACCUCGGGGGGAUGACGGUACCUGAAGAAUAAGCACCGGCUAACUACGUG
RNAcentral lists this ribosomal RNA (484 nucleotides) under uncultured bacterium. Its description in RNAcentral is "bacterial SSU rRNA". It matches the Rfam family "Bacterial small subunit ribosomal RNA", at positions 30 to 507 of the family's 1533-position model. The record is from RNAcentral.